UCAGCAACGCUACUAUAGCAGCCCAGCACAACCGCCAAGCCAGGGCCGGCCUACUUAACCUGACAGCUUUGCUGGGCCGCUUCGUGUCUCAAGCCGCGGCAGAGGGGGAAAUCCAGGCAGAGCACGCCAUCUCCAUCGCCGCGACUCGCCCUCCUGUCCGCGUCUCCCUGCCCCUUCUCCUCUAGCAGGAGGAGCACGAGCCAAGGCGUGCCACCUCCGAUUCUGCAAUGCUUCUAACGGCCAGCUCCGCAGCAUUCCAUUCGAUCAUCCGUCCGAUUGAAUCCCUUGCUCCAGCCGCUAGAUGAGCUGGAGAUGUCGGAUGUGUCCACGGUGUUGAAUGUGCCUCAGGAUCUGAAUGAACUGCAGGCUAGGCAUACCACUCUCUUGUCCAGCGCCGUUCUUUGUGUGUGUGCCUCUAAUUCUUAGUUUGUUUCAGAUCUCGGAAGAACCAAAAGAUCCUCUGCACUGCACACUUUCGCCAAUGCCUGAAGAUGG
Molecule: long non-coding RNA, 495 nt
Organism: Triticum dicoccoides
Lineage: Eukaryota; Viridiplantae; Streptophyta; Magnoliopsida; Poales; Poaceae
Exons: 3
Source: RefSeq, a predicted model, not a curated record